UGCAGUCGAACGAGAAAGUGGAGCAAUCCAUGAGUACAGUGGCGUACGGGUGAGUAACACGUGGGUAAUCUGCCUCUUUGUGUGGAAUAACCCUGGGAAACCGGGGCUAAUACCGCAUAAGCUCGAGAGAGGAAAGCAGCAAUGCGCUGAGAGAGGAGCCCGCGGCCGAUUAGCUAGUUGGUAGGGUAAAAGCCUACCAAGGCAAAGAUCGGUAGCCGGCCUGAGAGGGCACACGGCCACACUGGCACUGAAACACGGGCCAGACUCCUACGGGAGGCAGCAGUGGGGAAUCUUGCACAAUGGGGGAAACCCUGAUGCAGCGACGCCGCGUGAGCGAUGAUGCCCCUCGGGGUGUAAAGCUCUUUCGGCAGGGAAGAUGAUGACGGUACCUGCAGAAGCAGCUGCGGCUAACUACGUGCCAGCAGCCGCGGUAAUACGUAGGCAGCAAGCGUUGUUCGGAGUUACUGGGCGUAAAGGGUGUGUAGGCGGUUCUCUAAGUUUGGUGUGAAAUCUCCCGGCUCAACUGGGAGGGUGCGCCGAAUACUGAAGGACUCGAGUGCGGGAGAGGAGAGUGGAAUUCCUGGUGUAGCGGUGAAAUGCGUAGAUAUCAGGAGGAACACCGGUGGUGUAGACGGCUCUCUGGACCGUAACUGACGCUGAGACACGAAAGCGUGGGUAGCAAACAGGAUUAGAUACCCUGGUAGUCCACGCCCUAAACGAUGCAUAUUUGGUGUGGGCAGUUCAGUCUGUCCGUGCCGGAGCUAACGCGUUAAAUAUGCCGCCUGGGGAGUACAGUCGCCAGGCUGAAACUCAAAGGAAUUGACGGGGGCCCGCACAAGCGGUGGAGCAUGUGGUUCAAUUCGACGCAACGCGAAAACUUACCUGGGCUCGAACGGCUGGUACCGGCGGUGGAAACAUCGCUACCCCGCAAGGGGGUCCAGUC
Molecule: ribosomal RNA, 943 nt
Filed under: uncultured bacterium
Lineage: Bacteria
Description: bacterial SSU rRNA
Rfam family: Bacterial small subunit ribosomal RNA
Source: RNAcentral